GAUGAACGCUGGCGGCGUGCCUAAUACAUGCAAGUCGAGCGAACGGACGAGAAGCUUGCUUCUCUGAUGUUAGCGGCGGACGGGUGAGUAACACGUGGAUAACCUACCUAUAAGACUGGGAUAACUUCGGGAAACCGGAGCUAAUACCGGAUAAUAUUUUGAACCGCAUGGUUCAAAAGUGAAAGACGGUCUUGCUGUCACUUAUAGAUGGAUCCGCGCUGCAUUAGCUAGUUGGUAAGGUAACGGCUUACCAAGGCAACGAUGCAUAGCCGACCUGAGAGGGUGGUCGGCCACACUGGAACUGAGACACGGUCCAGACUCCUACGGGAGGCAGCAGUAGGGAAUCUUCCGCAAUGGGCGAAAGCCUGACGGAGCAACGCCGCGUGAGUGAUGAAGGUCUCCGGAUCGUAAAACUCUGUUAUUAGGGAAGAACAUAUGUGUAAGUAACUGUGCACAUCUUGACGGUACCUAAUCAGAAAGCCACGGCUAACUACGUGCCAGCAGCCGCGGUAAUACGUAGGUGGCAAGCGUUAUCCGGAAUUAUUGGGCGUAAAGCGCGCGUAGGCGGUUUUUUAAGUCUGAUGUGAAAGCCCACGGCUCAACCGUGGAGGGUCAUUGGAAACUGGAAAACUUGAGUGCAGAAGAGAAAAGUGGAAUUCCAUGUGUAGCGGUGAAAUGCGCAGAGAUAUGGAGGAACACCAGUGGCGAAGGCGACUUUCUGGUCUGUAACUGACGCUGAUGUGCGAAAGCGUGGGGAUCAAACAGGAUUAGAUACCCUGGUAGUCCACGCCGUAAACGAUGAGUGCUAAGUGUUAGGGGGUUUCCGCCCCUUAGUGCUGCAGCUAACGCAUUAAGCACUCCGCCUGGGGAGUACGACCGCAAGGUUGAAACUCAAAGGAAUUGACGGGGACCCGCACAAGCGGUGGAGCAUGUGGUUUAAUUCGAAGCAACGCGAAGAACCUUACCAAAUCUUGACAUCCUUUGACAACUCUAGAGAUAGAGCCUUCCCCUUCGGGGGACAAAGUGACAGGUGGUGCAUGGUUGUCGUCAGCUCGUGUCGUGAGAUGUUGGGUUAAGUCCCGCAACGAGCGCAACCCUUAAGCUUAGUUGCCAUCAUUAAGUUGGGCACUCUAAGUUGACUGCCGGUGACAAACCGGAGGAAGGUGGGGAUGACGUCAAAUCAUCAUGCCCCUUAUGAUUUGGGCUACACACGUGCUACAAUGGACAAUACAAAGGGCAGCGAAACCGCGAGGUCAAGCAAAUCCCAUAAAGUUGUUCUCAGUUCGGAUUGUAGUCUGCAACUCGACUACAUGAAGCUGGAAUCGCUAGUAAUCGUAGAUCAGCAUGCUGCGGUGAAUACGUUCCCGGGUCU
RNAcentral lists this ribosomal RNA (1372 nucleotides) under uncultured bacterium. RNAcentral's name for it is "bacterial SSU rRNA". It matches the Rfam family "Bacterial small subunit ribosomal RNA", at positions 28 to 1381 of the family's 1533-position model. The record is from RNAcentral.